Molecule: non-coding RNA, 106 nt
Organism: Dendrothele bispora CBS 962.96
Lineage: Eukaryota; Fungi; Basidiomycota; Agaricomycetes; Agaricales
Source: the annotation of a GenBank genome assembly
UCCAUCAUGGUGUAGUGGCUAACAUUAUCGCCUCUCAUGCGAGGUCGCUAGUGUCAGCAAUCUGAAUUAGACGCGAUAGCCCAGGGUUCGAUUCCCUGUGAUGGAA